This 253-nucleotide ribosomal RNA is filed under the name uncultured bacterium. RNAcentral describes it as "partial 16S ribosomal RNA". It matches the Rfam family "Bacterial small subunit ribosomal RNA", at positions 524 to 776 of the family's 1533-position model. The record is from RNAcentral.
GACAGAGGGUGCAAGCGUUGUUCGGAAUUAUUGGGCGUAAAGGGCGCGUAGGCGGCCUUGCAAGUCAGAUGUGAAAUCCCAGGGCUCAACCCUGGACGUGCAUCUGAUACUGCUCGGCUUGAGUCCCGGAGAGGGUGGUGGAAUUCCCAGUGUAGAGGUGAAAUUCGUAGAUAUUGGGAGGAACACCGGUGGCGAAGGCGACCACCUGGACGGAGACUGACGCUGAGGCGCGAAAGCGUGGGGAGCAAACAGG